AUUGAACGCUGGCGGCAGGCCUAACACAUGCAAGUCGAACGAGUGGCGGACGGGUGAGUAAUGUCUGGGAAACUGCCCGAUGGAGGGGGAUAACUACUGGAAACGGUAGCUAAUACCGCAUACCAUCAGAUUUGCCCAGAUGGGAUUAGCUAGUAGGUGGGGUAACGGCUCACCUAGGCGACGAUCCCUAGCUGGUCUGAGAGGAUGACCAGCCACACUGGAACGGAGACAGGGUCAAGACGCGUACGGGAGGCAGCAGUGGGGAGUAUCGCAAAAUGGGGGCAAGCCUGAGGCAGCCAGGCGGCGGGGAUGAAGAAGGCCUUGGGGUGGUAAAGUACUUUCAGCGGGGAGGCGUUACCCGCAGAAGAAGCACCGGCUAACUCCGUGCCAGCAGCCGCGGUAAUAC
Molecule: ribosomal RNA, 406 nt
Filed under: uncultured bacterium
Lineage: Bacteria
Description: partial 16S ribosomal RNA
Rfam family: Bacterial small subunit ribosomal RNA
Source: RNAcentral